UACGUAGGGUGCGAGCGUUAAUCGGAAUUACUGGGCGUAAAGGGUGCGUAGGCGGUUAUAUAAGUUAGAUGUGAAAUACCUGGGCUUAACCUAGGAGGUGCAUUUAAGACUGUAUAGCUAGAGUUUGUCAGAGGGGGGUAGAAUUCCAAGUGUAGCAGUGAAAUGCGUAGAGAUUUGGAGGAAUACCGAUGGCGAAGGCAGCCCCCUGGGAUAGAACUGACGCUGAAGCACGAAAGCGUGGGUAGCAAACAGG
This 253-nucleotide ribosomal RNA is filed under the name uncultured bacterium. RNAcentral describes it as "partial 16S ribosomal RNA". It matches the Rfam family "Bacterial small subunit ribosomal RNA", at positions 524 to 776 of the family's 1533-position model. The record is from RNAcentral.